UGCAGAAUCCCGUGAACCAUCGAGUUUUUGAACGCAAGUUGCGCCCAAAGCCUUUUGGUUGAGGGCACGUCUGCCUGGGUGUCACACAUUGUUUGCCCAAACCCCAAUUGCUGUGGUAUUUGGGCGGUUGUUGGCCUCCCGUGCGCCCCUUGCUCGCGGUUGGCCCAAAUAUGUGCCUUGUUGAUGUUGUACACGGCAAUCGGUGGUUUUAUAGACCCUCGGAUAGUGUUGUGCACUCUCGUCUCACUGGCAUUAAUGGCCCUAAUGCAAUCAUUGCAUACUAUCGUAGCGACCCCAGGUCAGGCGAGACUACCCGCUGAGUUUAAGCAUAUCAAUAAGCGGAGGAAAAGAAACUUACCAGGAUUCCCCUAGUAACGGCGAGCGAACCGGGAAGAGCCCAGAUUGAGAAUCGGUUGCCUUGGGCAUCCGA
This 430-nucleotide ribosomal RNA is filed under the name Garcinia asterandra. RNAcentral describes it as "eukaryotic LSU rRNA". The stretch from base 290 to 430 matches the Rfam family "Eukaryotic large subunit ribosomal RNA", at positions 1 to 141 of the family's 3401-position model. The record is from RNAcentral. Lineage: Eukaryota; Viridiplantae; Streptophyta; Magnoliopsida; Malpighiales; Clusiaceae.